GAUGAACGCUGGCGGCGUGCCUAGUACAUGCAAGUCGAGCGAACAGACGAGGAGCUUGCUCCUCUGACGUUAGCGGCGGACGGGUGAGUAACACGUGGAUAACCUACCUAUAAGACUGGGAUAACUUCGGGAAACCGGAGCUAAUACCGGAUAAUAUAUUGAACCGCAUGGUUCAAUAGUGAAAGACGGUUUUGCUGUCACUUAUAGAUGGAUCCGCGCCGCAUUAGCUAGUUGGUAAGGUAACGGCUUACCAAGGCAACGAUGCGUAGCCGACCUGAGAGGGUGAACGGCCACACUGGAACUGAGACACGGUCCAGACUCCUACGGGAGGCAGCAGUAGGGAAUCUUCCGCAAUGGGCGAAAGCCUGACGGAGCAACGCCGCGUGAGUGAUGAAGGUCUGCGGAUCGUAAAACUCUGUUAUUAGGGAAGAACAAAUGUGUAAGUAACUAUGCACGUCUUGACGGUACCUAAUCAGAAAGCCACGGCUAACUACGUG
This 497-nucleotide ribosomal RNA is filed under the name uncultured bacterium. RNAcentral describes it as "partial 16S ribosomal RNA". It matches the Rfam family "Bacterial small subunit ribosomal RNA", at positions 28 to 507 of the family's 1533-position model. The record is from RNAcentral.